This 395-nucleotide long non-coding RNA is filed under the name Homo sapiens (human). Its description in RNAcentral is "non-protein coding lnc-EDEM3-7:4". Lineage: Eukaryota; Metazoa; Chordata; Mammalia; Primates; Hominidae. The record is from RNAcentral.
AGGUCUCCUAAGCUUGACUCCUCUUCGGCAUGAGACUAAGGAAGCUCCCCAAGUUCCAGUCAGAGCAGGCUUAUGGAAGAGUCUUGCCCUAACAGAAAAACAGGGAUGAGGCUGGGAAGAGGAUAAAGUUAUAGCAGGAUAAAGUUAUAAGAAGAUAACAAAGCAGGAUGACAUCACAUGGGACCAAGAAGGGGGCUGCAUCAUCCCUGGACCUGCUCCUGGGGGCUGUCGGAUUGUGGGCGUGGCCGCUUUGGAUGCCCAGGUGAGCCCUGACACAGAGGUGCUUCCUCACAUUACAGUGAGGAGAGGAUGGGGCCAGUACAAAGACUGAAGAACCAGCACUCCUCCUGGGUCCGUCUUUGCUAAGUUGAGUCAUCCCAGCCCAGGCUCAGAUG